Molecule: non-coding RNA, 28 nt
Filed under: Rattus norvegicus (Norway rat)
Lineage: Eukaryota; Metazoa; Chordata; Mammalia; Rodentia; Muridae
Source: RNAcentral
UAGUCAAAUCACUAGUAAGGCACCAGGU